RNAcentral lists this transfer RNA (74 nucleotides) under bacterium. RNAcentral describes it as "tRNA-Cys". It matches the Rfam family "tRNA". From Rfam's summary of the family: Transfer RNA (tRNA) molecules are approximately 80 nucleotides in length. Their secondary structure includes four short double-helical elements and three loops (D, anti-codon, and T loops). The record is from RNAcentral. RNAcentral also lists the same sequence under 2 other names.
GGCGGCAUAGCCAAGCGGUAAGGCAGAGGCCUGCAAAGCCUUGAUCCCCGGUUCGAAUCCGGGUGCCGCCUCCA